UAAAAAGAAACUUAUGGAAUUUUUGUGACCAAUCAAAAAUGACAAUCAAUUUUGCAAAACAAAACAAUGGGUUUCGGAUUUUAAGAACCAAAAUUCUUUAUAAUGAAGAGGGUAUAUACAAGUUCACUUCAUUGAAUAAAAAGUAAGUCAAAUUGCAGUGAAGGAGGUGCAACAAUAAUGGAUUUAUUUUAUAGUCUGUCUUUUCAUUUUAGAUAUUGCCAAAAUGCAGGAAGCAAUUUCCUUUAAGUAAUUUGGAAAGCGUACCAAACAAGGCGCUGAUUUACUAGUAAGUUUUUUGUAUAUUAUAUUUCUCUUAACAAAAUAAUAUCAAUGUUUUUAACUACAGAUGCUGCCCAUUGUUUUUGUAUGUACUUCUCAAUGGCAAGAGCUGCCGCAGGCGUUGAUGGCGGAGGUGUCACCAUCAAAACCAUUAGAAACAACACCACCGAGUCAAUGGUGCAAGUGGAAGUUUUGCCAUGUAAUAGUCGACCGCUGACGCCCUUCUUCAUCAAUUGUGUGUAAAGAGUUUACUACCAGUCUGCAGUUCUGCAAGAGACGCAAGAAAAACAAGAAUACAAUCGCAGGAAUACUCAAAAAUUGUCCAACCUUGACUGUAAGAGAGUUCAAAUUUUAAAUCUACAACGAAUCCAUUUAUUUUGCUCCUAAGAAUCGCACUGGCUUAACGGUGGCAAUCAUUUGGAGGCAAAUGAGCUGGCCCGACAAGAAUCCCCAAGAAGCCAAACAAAUUCAGAUCAGUCUCUCGGCAGCUACUGACGAUGUCGGCGAAUGGAUUCCAUCGAUUUUCACACAGAAAAUCAACAUCA
Long non-coding RNA from Eupeodes corollae, 824 nucleotides. RefSeq lists it as uncharacterized. The record is from RefSeq and is a predicted model, not a curated record. The transcript is spliced from 3 exons. NCBI's taxonomy places the organism in Eukaryota, Metazoa, Arthropoda, Insecta, Diptera, Syrphidae.